CCUACGGGUGGCAGCAGUGAGGAAUAUUGGUCAAUGGACGAGAGUCUGAACCAGCCAAGUAGCGUGAAGGAUGACUGCCCUAUGGGUUGUAAACUUCUUUUAUAUGGGAAUAAAACGUUCCACGUGUGGGAUUUUGUAUGUACCAUAUGAAUAAGGAUCGGCUAACUCCGUGCCAGCAGCCGCGGUAAUACGGAGGAUCCGAGCGUUAUCCGGAUUUAUUGGGUUUAAAGGGAGCGUAGGUGGAUUGUUAAGUCAGUUGUGAAAGUUUGCGGCUCAACCGUAAAAUUGCAGUUGAAACUGGCAGUCUUGAGUACAGUAGAGGUGAGCGGAAUUCGUGGUGUAGCGGUGAAAUGCUUAGAUAUCACGAAGAACUCCGAUUGCGAAGGCAGUUCACUGGACUGCAACUGACACUGAGGCUCGAAAGUGUGGGUAUCAAACAGGAUCAGAUACCCCAGUAGUC
RNAcentral lists this ribosomal RNA (460 nucleotides) under uncultured bacterium. Its description in RNAcentral is "partial 16S ribosomal RNA". It matches the Rfam family "Bacterial small subunit ribosomal RNA", at positions 338 to 795 of the family's 1533-position model. The record is from RNAcentral.